AGAGUUUGAUCCUGGCUCAGGACGACCGCCGGCGGCGUGCUUAACACAUGCAAGUCGUGGGGGGGUAGCAAUACCUCACCGGCGAACGGGUGCGUAACACGUGAGCAACCUACCGAUUUGAGGGGGAUAGCCGGCCCAACGGCCGGGUAAUACCGCAUACGCUCUUUGGGAGACAUCUCCUGGGGAGGAAACCUCCGGGGCAAAUCGCGGGGCUCGCGGCCUAUCAGCUAGUUGGUGCGGUAACGGCGCACCAAGGCGAUGACGGGUAGCUGGUCUGAGAGGAUGGCCAGCCACAUUGGGACUGAGAGACGGCCCAGACUCCUACGGGAGGCAGCAGUGGGGAAUCUUGCGCAAUGGUCGAAAGACUGACGCAGCGACGCCGCGUGCGGGAGGAAGCUCUUCGGGGUGUAGACCGCUGUUGCCCGGAACGAAACUCACCUUUCGAGGUGAUGACGGUACCGGUAGAAGCCCCG
RNAcentral lists this ribosomal RNA (473 nucleotides) under uncultured soil bacterium. RNAcentral's name for it is "bacterial SSU rRNA". It matches the Rfam family "Bacterial small subunit ribosomal RNA", at positions 8 to 495 of the family's 1533-position model. The record is from RNAcentral.